RNAcentral lists this ribosomal RNA (253 nucleotides) under uncultured bacterium. RNAcentral's name for it is "partial 16S ribosomal RNA". It matches the Rfam family "Bacterial small subunit ribosomal RNA", at positions 524 to 776 of the family's 1533-position model. The record is from RNAcentral.
UACAGAGGUCCCAAGCGUUGUUCGGAUUCACUGGGCGUAAAGGGUGCGUAGGUGGCCAGGUAAGUUUGGUGUGAAAGCUCGGAGCUUAACUCCGAAAAGUCAUUGAAUACUAUCUGGCUGGAGGGUCGGAGGGGAGACUGGAAUUCUCGGUGUAGCAGUGAAAUGCGUAGAUAUCGGGAGGAACAUCAGUUGCGAAGGCGGCUCUCUGGACCAGCACUGACACUGAGGCACGAAAGCGUGGGGAGCAAACAGG